Oxyura jamaicensis (ruddy duck) is the source of this 4193-nucleotide long non-coding RNA. RefSeq lists it as uncharacterized. The record is from RefSeq and is a predicted model, not a curated record. The transcript is spliced from 2 exons. Lineage: Eukaryota; Metazoa; Chordata; Aves; Anseriformes; Anatidae.
CUUUUUUGUGUUUCCUUAUGUGAACUUGUUGCUGGAUUUAUCUUUCCCUAAAAAAUACAUAGUUUGCUUCUUUUUGAGUUUGGACCCCAGCUGUACUACUGGAAUUAUCCUCUUGGUGGAAAUCAUGCUUUAAAAUGUCACCCACAUCCUUACCAAAUUAAUUUUUAUCUAAAUAUUGUUGCUUGGUUGUAGCUGAUUGCAGUGAUUAAUCCCCUCAUUGUUAAUGGACAAAUCAAUAGGAACUACCCUGUUCAAUGGAUGUUUUAUCAUGCCUCUGUUAGAUCUUUCCAGCCCAAAAUAUGCGUCCAUAUUUAUGCCUAAUAGUGUUUCCUAUAUGUAGCAAAGUAAUCACUUCUUGAUUGCACCUUCCAAAUUAAACUGUGAAAUGAAAAGCAGUGGAGUUAUCUUUUCAAAUUGGGUAUCUGCUCUUUUCCUAAUAUGAGAUGAUAAAAUGGAUCCCUUUGUAAUCUAAGGAUUAUAUUAAAUUAAUCUCAGAAAAAAUAAAAUCUCAGAUUUUAUUUUACAAAAUGUCAGUUAUUAACACUCCAUCCUGAACACCUCACAGUGCAUACAAAUGGAUGUAUCUGGCAUCCUGAUAAAAAGUGCAAGGGUCCUGAGAAAUAAUGAAAGUCAAUGGCAUUUUUUCACUACCUGAAGGCAGGUAGAUGACACAGGUUAUUCCUCUAAAUGGCAGGUUCUUCCAAAGCUGUUUUUUCAUCCAUCUCUGGCAUAAACCUCUGACACAACUCAUACAGUUUCCCUGGCCCCAUAAAGCAAAUGAAUGAGUCAGUUGUGCUUCAAGUAAUUCAAGUUGUGCAUUUUACAAUGCUUUAUCACUGUGUGCAUAGCUUGGCUGUGAAUUGCUUAUUUCAAACAAGUCAUGAAAUAAAGUGGCUGUACUGACAGAGCUCAGUGCCAGAGCUUACUUUGCCUCUUUGCCUCAGAGACAUGUGUUUGAGUGAGCAAUAUACAGCACAUUUCCCAAACCUGAACCUCUUUUAGUGCAUAUGUACUGGUUGAUAUUCAAGGAUCACCUCCUCCAAGCUCAGGAAUGAUGCAUCCCAACAAAGGGAAAGUCAGGAAAAAUGCCAGGAUGACAGCAUGGAUGAACAAGGAGCUCCUAGCUAAACACAAACAGGAAAAGAAGGUCUACAUAGGGUGGAAGCAAGGACAGGUAGCCUGAGAGCAAUGAAGAGAAAUUGUCAGAGCAGCCAGAGAUCAGGUUAGGAAAGGCAAAGCCCUGAUAGAAAUGAAUUCGGCCAGGGACGUCAUGGGCAACCAGAAAAGGUUCUGUAAGUACAUCAGUGAUAAAAGACCAGGAAAAUUGUGGGCACUCCCUGGGCCCUGGUAACAGGAGACCUGGUUACCCAGGGUAUGAAGAAGGUUGAAGGAUUCAGUGACUUUUUUUGCCUCAGUCUUCACUUGUAAGAGCUCCAGACACAUAGCCCAGGCCCCAGAAGGCUAAGAUGGGGACUGGAAGAAUGAAGAACUGCACACUGUAGGAGAAGGUCAGGUUCAAGACCAUCAAAGCAACCUGAAGGUACAUAAGUCCAUGGGACCUGAUGUAAUGCAUCCACAGGUCCUGAGGGAAUUCAUAGAUAAAGCUUCUAAGUCACUGUCCCUUAUAUCUGAGAAGUUGUGGCAGUCCAGUGAAGUUCCCACUGACUAUAAAUACUUGUUUGAAAUAAGCAAUUCACAGCCAAUCCAUCCCUUGAACACCUCCAUCCCUGGAGGUGUUCAAGGCCAGGUUGGAUGGGGCUUUGGACAGACUGAUCUGGUAGGAGGUGUCCCUGCCCAUGGCAGGGGGGUUGGAAAUAGAUGGUCUUUCAGGUCCCUUCCAACCCAAACCAAUCUAUGAUUCUAUGUGUAACCACCUGAGACAGCAGCAUUUCAAACCCCACCAGAAUGGGGCAGUGAAAGACACCUGCAACUACUGCCUCAAAUAUUUGUAUACAGCCCAAUGUCCUGGAAUUACUGGCACUUGAACUACUGCCAGCAAUUAGAGGUAGUUAGCAGUCCCCUGGCCAGUGUGAUACUUGAAGCCAGUAAUUGCUGCAGGUUUUUAGUGCUGCUGCACUACAGGAACAGAGCUGUUGGCUGCAGAGAAGCUGAGUGUGUAGCUAGAGUUUGUGCCUGAUCUGCUGGCUCACUGCUGCUGAAAGGAGCAAUCUCAUUUCUCUGACCCAUGCCCCCUGCUUUUGCUAUCCCUACUCUCAGCCACACUGUCCUGCUCUUUCCAUUCUAGCCCUCAUCAGUUCUUACAGAGAGCUGUUUCAAAUACCCAGCCUGGAGGAAAACUAUGCAUUUGCUUUUGCCCCGUUACUCUAGUUUCCUCUUAAAAUAAUGAAUGAAAUCAGCCUGCAGUGAGGUCUAGUAUAAAAACAGUAGUAGGAGCUUGCAAUCAGGAGCAGAAGAGGUGCGAAAAGAGUGCACUGGGACUCCACUUUGGUGACAGCAAACUGUUAGAUCAGCUUAUCUGGCACAUCUCUACCUGGAGAAAAAAUACAAAAUUAAAAAAAAAAAAAAAAAAAAAAAAAAAAAAGAUUGACAGUAUCUAUCUCCUUGUCUUGGUUAGUGGUAUCAUACUCAGAAAUCAAGCUGGAGAAUAUUUUGUUAUCCCCUGCUGCAAGGAUAGGUUGAAUAUAAUGCUUUGCAAGAAUAAUUGUUUGUUUUGGAAAAGAGUGAGUAGAAACAAUAUUUCAUCUGUUGUCCCUGGUGAACUGUUUAGUCCUGCUUUGCAGCAACUUGUGAAUUAAGUAUCACUUUCAGAAACAACUGGGUCAUCUUUGGUCACUCUCCCCCAAAAUGACAUAUUGUCUGGUUAUAAGCUUGCUUGUGGUUGCUAAUUUUCUUCAGCUUCUAAUUGGAACAGUCACUUAAUUGGUGGGAUUUUGUCCUCAUCAACACACACUGAUUGAAAUGGGUCUGUUCCUGUACAGUAGUCAGCUGGAUUUGUGUUAAUUAAACUCCCCUAAUGAUAUGGUUUACUAAGUAUUUCAUGAGAUUGGCUACUGUUCUUUCUAAUUUAUGCACAGUUCAGUAAGAAAUAUUUAGCUCUGCAACUUACUGUCAAUGGAUUUUCCUCUGAAAAUCUGGCUUUAUCUGUAGGAAGAAUCCAUAUGUGUGUAGCAUGUAAAAAGUGAAAAUGGUGAAAUUAAUAUUUCAAGCAGGCUGGAUACUCUACAUGUGCUUUCAGAUACCUAUCAGAGGGGGGUAAACCUGCAUGAGUUCCCUUGUAAGAGAUGAAUGAAGAGGAGACACAGAGACACAGAGGUGGAAAUGUCCAUGCAUCUGUAGCAGAUGUUGUGACUCCAUUUUUAGGAGGGAAGAAGUCAGAGGAGCUGAACAUGGAGCCCCUGUACAAUGGGCAGGUGUCCUGGUGGUUGUGCAAGCAUCUCCUCCCCCAGACCAGUAUUUCAGUUGGGACGGUCAGCUCUGCUUGCCUGAAGAUAUCUCCAGGAGAAGAGAGAUGUUGAUGGUCUGCUGCAAAUAUAGGAGUUGCAGAUAUUGCAGUGUUGCUUAAGCUGGGACCAAAUUAGUGUUUCUCACUCAUGCAACUUGACCAGUGUGUUAAAAGUCCUCCUCUGGGUGUCACAUACAGCCUCCUUUCCUGGAGUACCAAUUUCAUUUCAUCCUACCCUCAGGCUGCAACAGCAUCCCAAAUUUUCAAGUGCUCUGCAUCCUAAUGCUGUGUGGCAAACUGAUACAUUUCCAUUCCUGAACUUAAUAAAAUCAGCAGUUGUCAUGGUUUACUAGCAAAACUUUAGUGCUAACUCAGAAUCAUGGCAAAGCGCCCAAAUAGCCUACGCUCUGCAUUCUGUACAGUCUCAGAGUAGUUAUCAGUAAUUGCAUCUCCACCCCCUCCCUAUUACAUAUACUCCGUGUACCAUCCAAUUCGUCACAUUUAUUAUUCAGGACACUUUUUGUUGGAGUUUAUCGCAGCUAACUUACCAAUAAAAAGGGACAGUCGAUGGUUUUAAAAUACAGCGUUCUCUCUCGGUUAUGUUAUCUUUAUGCAAGCACACUUUGCAUUUUUAGAAAUUCUUUGCAACUUCUGCAUUCUAUGGAGGCCUACAAAAGGUGAUCUGGUGUCAUAUGGUUAUAUUAGUAGUCUGAUCCCAUUCCCAAAUACGUCUUGGAUAGAGAACAUUCAACUUCAUAUGUACCUGAGCUCUUGUUAUGUGACAGGAAAA